Molecule: ribosomal RNA, 447 nt
Filed under: uncultured bacterium
Lineage: Bacteria
Description: bacterial SSU rRNA
Rfam family: Bacterial small subunit ribosomal RNA
Source: RNAcentral
CCCAGACUCCUACGGGAGGCAGCAGUGGGGAAUAUUGCACAAUGGGGGGAACCCUGAUGCAGCGACGCCGCGUGGGUGAAGGAGUAUUUCGGUAUGUAAAGCCCUAUCAGCAGGGAAGAACAAUGACGGUACCUGACUAAGAAGCACCGGCUAAAUACGUGCCAGCAGCCGCGGUAAUACGUAUGGUGCAAGCGUUAUCCGGAUUUACUGGGUGUAAAGGGAGCGUAGGCGGCGCGUUAAGUCUGAUGUGAAAACCCGAGGCUCAACCACGGGAGUGCAUUGGAAACUGGCGGGCUGGAGUGCCGGAGAGGUAAGCGGAAUUCGUGGUGUAGCGGUGAAAUGCAUAGAUAUCACGAAGAACCCCGAUUGCGAAGGCAGCAUACCGGCUCCACACUGACGCUGAGGCACGAAAGCGUGGGUAUCGAACAGGAUUAGAUACCCUGGUAA